RNAcentral lists this ribosomal RNA (253 nucleotides) under uncultured bacterium. RNAcentral describes it as "partial 16S ribosomal RNA". It matches the Rfam family "Bacterial small subunit ribosomal RNA", at positions 524 to 776 of the family's 1533-position model. The record is from RNAcentral.
UACGUAGGGGGCAAGCGUUAUCCGGAAUUACUGGGUGUAAAGGGAGCGUAGACGGUGAUGUAAGUCUGGAGUGAAAGGCGGGGGCCCAACCCCCGGACUGCUCUGGAAACUAUGUGACUGGAGUGCAGGAGAGGUGAGCGGAAUUCCUAGUGUAGCGGUGAAAUGCGUAGAUAUUAGGAGGAACACCAGUGGCGAAGGCGGCUCACUGGACUGUAACUGACGUUGAGGCUCGAAAGCGUGGGGAGCAAACGGG